Long non-coding RNA from Phyllopteryx taeniolatus (common seadragon), 373 nucleotides. RefSeq lists it as uncharacterized. The record is from RefSeq and is a predicted model, not a curated record. Lineage: Eukaryota; Metazoa; Chordata; Actinopteri; Syngnathiformes; Syngnathidae. The transcript is spliced from 3 exons.
UGACAGCCGAAACCCAGCCAAGACGACAAAGUGCCAACGCCAUGAUAAGGAGCAGCGUUUGGAUCCAAUUGUGGCACCGCAGCAAUGCGGAACAGCCACGUUGAGGACGUAAUAGCGCAACAGCGCCACCCAGCGCGACUAUAACGCCACUGCAAAGAAACAAGACUGUAUUGAAAAAGUAAAGAGAAGAAGAAGAAAGUACAGAGGGUUGCGAAUGAGCUGGAGCCAAUCCCGGCUGACUUUAGGCAAGAAGUGGAGUACAUCCUAAACUGUUCGCCAGCCAAUCCCAGGGCUCAUAUAGACAGCUAUUCACACUCACAUUCCUACCCUAACAUGCAUGUUUUGGAAUGUGGGAAGAAGCCAUAGUGCACAG